AUACGGAAGGUCCGGGCGUUAUCCGGAUUUAUUGGGUUUAAAGGGUGCGCAGGCGGCCGUGCAAGUCAGCGGUGAAAGCCCGGGGCUCAACCCCGGAAGUGCCGUUGAUACUGCAUGGCUGGAAUGCGGUCGAGGCGGGCGGCAAGGGGGGUGUAGCGGGGAAAUGCGUAGAUAGUCCACAGAACGCCGAUAGCGGAGGCAGCUCGCCAGGCCUGCAUGGACGCUCGGGCACGAAAGCGUGGGGAUCGAACAGGAUUAGAUACCCUGGUAGUCCACGCCGUAAACGAUGGGCGCUCGUCGUCGGCGGCAGACAGUCGGCGGCCAAGCGAAAGCGAUAAGCGCCCCACCUGGGGAGUACGGUCGCAAGGCUGAAACUCAAAUGAAUUGGCGGGG
This 393-nucleotide ribosomal RNA is filed under the name uncultured bacterium. RNAcentral describes it as "partial 16S ribosomal RNA". It matches the Rfam family "Bacterial small subunit ribosomal RNA", at positions 523 to 918 of the family's 1533-position model. The record is from RNAcentral.